GACCGUGAUGGGGGUGCUGUGAACAUGGGGCCGAGCAGCGCGAGUCGCCCCUGCUGCCACGGUGGCCGUGCUGGGGCUGCGGGCCCUCCCUGGGUGCCCCUGACCCCGCUCUGGGCACAGUGCUGGUGCGGCUGGAGGCUCGUUUGAAGGGCUUUGGUCCUGGUCCAGUUCUUUUCGUUUCGUUUUGUUUUGCCUUCCUUCACUUUGGGUGGGGACAGAGCUUGGCCUCCAGAAGAACAGCGAUUCAGUGCAAACCUCAGCCCCCCUGCAGCUCACGGUGCUGAAGGUAAAAGCACAGCGGUGGAGGGACAGCACUGACAAGGCGGCCACCAGGGCUGCGAGGUGACGAGUGGAGCUGUGGCUGCACGGAGGAGCAGACUCCUGGAAGACCAGCACGUCCAACUUGUUGAGUGGCAGAAGAGAGUGAAACCAGUUUUGUUGUAACAGCCAAACACACUUCUUGUGCAGACUGGGGCAGGCACUUUGGGAGGGGUAUUUCAGUGGGCUUGUGCCCCACUUUCAGGUGAUGUGGCGGUGGCGGUGGCAGGUGCUGGGGCGCUGCCCGUCCCCAGGGGCCAGCAGCAGCAGGGCCGUGGCCCCGCUCAGCUGCAGGUCGAGCUGUGCCCACUGCCACUGGCACCUGUGGUGGGACAGAAGGAGCAGAGCACUGCCGUGCUGUUCCAGCGGUCCCUCACAAGGCCAGCUUUGCAGAAGGAUGGGAUGCCCGAAGUGCAUCUGACUGCUGGGGAUUUAGUGCUGGGCCAGGUGAAGGCCGGCUGCCUGCGGAGCUGGGGACAGGUCUGGAAGCUGACCUCUCAGACCUCGCUGCUGGCGAGGGUCAGCACCGUGCCCCUCAUGGCUCAGCUGGCACAGCCAGCCCAUUUUUUAAUUGCUGACCUCGACAGAGACAGAGAUACUAAUUCACUUGACUUUUGCUUACUUUCAGUUUGACUCACGCUUUCUAAAAGUAUUUAAGCUAAAUACUCCUUGUGAAGCCCAGGAGGAACUUAAUUCUUUAAGAGCCUGUAAGCCAGCCAAAUGCACUCUUUUAUUUGUUUAUCACCUCAACAAUACCCCAAGGUCCAAGAAUGGCAUAUGAAGUGUGCGGUAAAUCACACUUAAAUACUUACAUUUUUAUUUAUUUGUUCAAAACAGCUUUACAGCAAGUCAUCAGGAACACCAGGGUCUGACCUGGCUACUUAACUUUCACCCUGAGGAUAAGCUAUUGCACAUGGGCGAUGUCACAGGCAAGGUGGCCGCAAGGCUAGGCUUAAUGUUUUUACUUUUCUAUGUCUUGUCUUGAUGCUAGUCCAUAUAAGUAAAGCUGAACUUUUAACUGC
This is a long non-coding RNA of Anas platyrhynchos (mallard), 1340 nucleotides long. RefSeq lists it as uncharacterized. NCBI's taxonomy places the organism in Eukaryota, Metazoa, Chordata, Aves, Anseriformes, Anatidae. The record is from RefSeq and is a predicted model, not a curated record.